This 796-nucleotide non-coding RNA is filed under the name Apis dorsata (giant honeybee). Lineage: Eukaryota; Metazoa; Arthropoda; Insecta; Hymenoptera; Apidae. The record is from RNAcentral.
UUUAAUGUUUAAUAUGAAUAAUAUAUAUAUUUUAAAUAUUGGGGGAAUAUUUAAUAAUAAAUUAUAUUAUAGUUUUAAAAUUAAUUUUAUUAAUAAAUUAUAUAUAAAAUUUAAUAAUAAAUUAAAAAUUAAGAAAGAAUUAAAUUAAUAAUGAAUUCUGAAACAAUGAAUGAAAGUUUUAUUCGGUGAUUAAAUUUAGUAAAGAUAAAUAUAAGUGCCAGCAAUAGCGGUUAAACUUAAUUUAUAAAUUAAUUAUAACUAAUAAUAUUUAUAUAGAAUUUAAAAAUAAUUAUAAUUAAAUUUUUUAAUUUUAGGUGAAAUUUAUAAUUAAUUAAUAAUAAUUAUAAUUUAAAUUAAUAAAGAUAGUAAAAUUUAAUAAAAAACUAGGAUUAGAUACCCUACUAUAAAAUUUAAAUAAAUUAUUAAAUAAUUAAAUGUUAAAUCAUUAAAGUUAAGUAAUAUGGCGGCUUUUUAUAUCUAAUUAGAGAAACUUGUUGAUUAAUUUGAUAGUCCACGAUAAGAAAUACUUAAAUUAGAUUUAUGUAUUGUUGUUUAAAUAGUUUAAAUAGAUUUAUGAUUAUAAAUAUUUUUUAGAAUAUAAAUUCAAAUCAAAAUAUAGUAUAUUUAAGAUUUUUAUGAGUUUCAAUAAAUUAAAUUUUUUGAAUAAUUUAUUUUAAUAUAAAUUUGAAAGUGAAUUUAAAAGUAAAUUAAAGUAAUUUCUUUAAAUUGAAGAUAGUUUUGAAAAGUGUACAAAUCGCCCCGUCAAUUUCAUUUGAAAGUUGAAAUAAGUCGUAAC